GAAGAUGAGAAUUCCUAUCCCAAGGCACAACCCUCCACUUACUACCUUGAUGCCACAGGGAGGAAGUUUCUUCCUAGCAGUAGAGAUGGAUUAUGGUUUGGGGAUCCUUGGAAAAGUUCCUCUCUUCUCACAAAUCCCUGUCUUCUGCUACUCCUGGUGGUCAGGAAGGCUAUACAUUUUAACUCAAGUCAGUGGCCACUGUGGCAGUCAUUAACACUGUUCACUAAAUUUUCCUCCUGGGGAUACAGUGAUACUAUGCAUCCCCUCCCCCAACCUUUUAAGUUACAGUGGCCAUGUGACUUGCUCUGGCCAAUGAGAUGUGGGCUGAAAUAACAGGUGUCUUUCCAAUAGAUGCAUUACAAGCCAGUGUGAGUUUUCUAGAUUCUCUUUUGCCAACUCCACCCUCCAACUUCCUGACUCCUAUCUUGGCAAAUGGAAAUGAUUAGAUGGCAAUUGCUCCAUCAGUCUGGGCUCUGGAGGGUGGAUGAUGAGACAUAACUUCCUGACUCCCAUCUUGGCAAAUGGAAAUGAUUAGAUGGCAGCUGCUCCAUCAGUCUGGGCUCUGGAGAGGGUGGGGGGUGGAUGAUGAGACACAGAGUCAUGGGCACAGCAUAUAGCAUGGGAAGAACAUGUGGAACAUAUAGAGCAUACUGUCUUAAAUCACUGAGAUUUUGAGGCUGUCACUACAUCAGAGCCUGGGUCUACACUCACUGAUGUGAAUUUGCAGUUUUCUUACUGUGUGCAAAGUACUGACCUAAACUAGAAGGGAUACAGAUAUUUCAUUAAGAAAUAAGUUAGGGGUGCCUGACUGGCUCAGAUGGUAGGGAGUGCACCUCGAUCUUGAGGUCGUGAGUUUGAGCCCCUCCUUGGGGGUAGAGUUUACUUAAAACACAAAAAAGAAACAAGUUAAUUUUCUGACAUUCCCUUUCUUUGGGCGCCAACCUUUCUUGUUUGGUUUACAAUCAGAGAAAUCAGACCAGCUUCUGCCACUUAUACAUUAGUAUGAAUAAGUUUUAGAGCUGGAAUUAUUAGCAAACUGUAGAACUACUUUCAGGAAUUGUAGAGAGAAAGUUCUUACUGAUAAAAUUUCUGUGCUUUUGCAAACCACUAUAAACAUAGGAUAGAUUUUUAUACAGAGAUAAACACAUAUAGCAAACCUGAGUUAAGGAGUAUAUAUGAUUUCAGCAAUUCACUCUAGGACAAAAAAAUGUAGUCACUUCAUUUAACUAAAAUGUAUAUUAUUUAUAAUCAAUUCCAUAUACUCCUAGCUGUUUUAUAAUUUUUUUUAACGUUUAUUCAUUUUUUGCAAGACAGAGAGAGACAGAGCGUGAAUGGGCGAGGGGCAGAGAGAGAGGGAGAUACGAAUCCCAAGCAGGCUCCAGGCUCUGAACUGACAGCAUAGAGCCUGACGCGGGGCUCUAACUCACAGACUGUGAGAUCAUGACCUGAGCCGAAGUCGGAUGCUUAACUGAGCCACCCAGGCGCCCCACUCCUAGCUCUUUUAAAGUACAUAUUAAAGUUCCAAUCAUAAUAAAACAUUCAAUGAGAGAUGAUUAUAACUCAUUAACCAUGGAAAUCUAAUUAACAAAUAAGCAAAAUUACUAUACUCUAAUGUCACAUUGAAACUUUUUAAGUGAAAACUGAUGUUCACUAUAUCAUAUUCCUUUCUUUUGUAAAAAAUUCAAUAAUAAAUGCUAAACAGUAAAUUUAAUACCUAAAGUAUAUGUAAAUAUCAACCUAAACUAAGAAGCAUAAGGUUAAAUACAUCAGUACAAAAUAACAUAAGGAAACAAUCAAUAGCCUUUAGUAAACAUGAUUAAAAUUGUUCUUUUUCAGAAAAGUAGCAUAAGUGUACCAUUAAAUGGCUAAGAAAGUUUUAGCUGGAUCGUUUCCUCAAACUAAAGCAAAUAUACAUUGCACAAUUCCUUUCCCAUUUACCUUUUAUAAUUUCUUCUUUAUGUUUACAAUUUCACAAAAUGUUCUAAUGUCUAUUCUGUUUUAAAGGUCCACCAUAAAUGACCAACGAUACUUAGUAAUUAAUUAAAUUUCGAUGUAGUCUCUAGCUCACUGGUUUUCAAAACUUUCUCCUUCACAGAACCAGCAAUUACAGAACAGACUUAAAAAAAAAAAAAGCAAGCUGUUCUGCCAGGAUCAGUAGGAGAGGUUGAGGUGGGGAGUGGGGUACAGCUGUGGGGGCUUACACAGGGGAUCAGAGAUUGUGCACAUUUUCAGCCACCUUGUUAUAUAUUCUUUCUGUCUCAACACACCGCCUCAAUCUUCCAGGCCAUUUGCUUAUUUACAUUAUCAAUGCACAGAUUUUGCUUUAAAAUUAGAAGAAUUUUCUGUUGGGUUUUAAAAAAAUAAAAGUCACAGAAGGCCUGAUAAAGGUUUAGUCAGAAACAUUUACUAAAUAUUUUCUAGUACUAGACACACAGUGUUCAGCAAAGGGAUAUAAAAACAGCAGAAACUUAAUCCUUAUUUUUGAGUUACACAGAUUCUACUGGGGAAAGGGACAGUGGAGGAGUAAGAGGACCAGGAACAACAAGUGGUAACAGCAUGUGCAGAGGAUGCAGGAAGGGAGUCUUGGACUCCUCCUUGUAGGAGUAGAAAUGGUACCAGCAGUCAGGUCAGGGAGGGCCUCACUGAAGGGCCAUAUCUAGGCUGGGGGAGGUGGGAGAGCCAUUCUGGGGAUAGCAAGUGUGGAUAUAAAAAGUGCACAGAUGUGCUUGGAGUAUUUUAGGAAGGAAAAAAAAAAAGCACAUUGUAGUUACAGAGGAAGGUGUGUGAGGGG
Long non-coding RNA from Leopardus geoffroyi (Geoffroy's cat), 2791 nucleotides. RefSeq lists it as uncharacterized. The transcript is spliced from 2 exons. NCBI's taxonomy places the organism in Eukaryota, Metazoa, Chordata, Mammalia, Carnivora, Felidae. The record is from RefSeq and is a predicted model, not a curated record.